Molecule: ribosomal RNA, 497 nt
Filed under: uncultured bacterium
Lineage: Bacteria
Description: partial 16S ribosomal RNA
Rfam family: Bacterial small subunit ribosomal RNA
Source: RNAcentral
GAUGAACGCUGGCGGCGUGCCUAAUACAUGCAAGUCGAGCGAACAGACGAGGAGCUUGCUCCUCUGACGUUAGCGGCGGACGGGUGAGUAACACGUGGAUAACCUACCUAUAAGACUGGGAUAACUUCGGGAAACCGGAGCUAAUACCGGAUAAUAUAUUGAACCGCAUGGUUCAAUAGUGAAAGACGGUUUUGCUGUCACUUAUCGAUGGAUCCGCGCCGCAUUAGCUAGUUGGUAAGGUAACGGCUUACCAAGGCAACGAUGCGUAGCCGACCUGAGAGAGUGAUCGGCCACACUGGAACUGAGACACGGUCCAGACUCCUACGGGAGGCAGCAGUAGGGAAUCUUCCGCAAUGGGCGAAAGCCUGACGGAGCAACGCCGCGUGAGUGAUGAAGGUCUUCGGAUCGGAAAACUCUGUUAUUAGGGAAGAACAAAUGUGUAAGUAACUAUGCACGUCUUGACGGUACCUAAUCAGAAAGCCACGGCUAACUACGUG